GCAGUGAGGAAUAUUGGUCAAUGGCCUAACGGCUGAACCAGCAACUUGGAGGAAUGUAUAGGGAAAACUGGUAAAAUGUGAUGUACCUAGUAAUAUUAGUGAUUAAUAUGAGAUUAACUAAGUUAAUUAAAAUUCAAAGUAGAUUUUGAUUAUGACAGAGUUUGCUUAUGUCUUGGCCAAGUCACGUGCCAGCAGUCGCGGUAAUACGUGGAAGAUAAGCGUUAUUCAUCUUUAAAAGGUUUAAAGGGUACCUAGACGGUUAAUUAAACAUUAAAAAUGAAUUAAUUAACUAGAGUUUAAUGUAAGAGAGAUUGAGUACGGUGAGUGUAGUGAUAUAAUAUUAUGAUACAACUAUGGAACUGGUAAAGGCGAAGGCCACUUUCUAUGUAAAAACUGACGUUAAGGGACGAAGGCUCGUAUUUAAAAAACAGGAUUAGAUACCCUGGUAUUUCGGGCAGAAAAUGAUGAGUGUCAUAUGCAAGAGAUUUUUUUUGUGUAUAAAUGAAAGUGUAAGCACUCCACCUCAAGAGUAACAUGGCAACAUGGGAACUGAAAUCAUUAGACCGUUUCUGAAACUCGUAGUGAAGUAUGUUGUUUAAUUUGAUGACCCUCAAACAACCUUACCACAAUUUGUAUUACUAUUAUAAGUAGUAACAAGCGUUGCACGGCUGUCUUCAGUCAAUGUUGUGAAAUUAUGGUUAGAUCCAUUAAAUUGACGUAAACCCUUGCUUUAUUUAAUAUAAAGUAGUUCGCCGGUAUAUUGGUAAUGAUAUAAGGGACUAAGACAAGUCAUCAUGACCUGAAUAUUGUGGGCUAUAGACGUGCCACAUAUAAUAAAAAUUUUAGGGCCUGGAAAAUUUGUCUAAAGUCCUUUAUAUCUCUCCCAAUUUACCGGGAAAAUCUUAUAAUUAAU
This 913-nucleotide ribosomal RNA is filed under the name Chapsa leprocarpa. RNAcentral's name for it is "SSU rRNA". It matches the Rfam family "Bacterial small subunit ribosomal RNA", at positions 351 to 1292 of the family's 1533-position model. Lineage: Eukaryota; Fungi; Ascomycota; Lecanoromycetes; Ostropales; Graphidaceae. The record is from RNAcentral.